GCGGGCCAACGCGGGCGCCCGUAGGAGACGGCUUUCCCGUCCAAGUCCUGC
Molecule: non-coding RNA, 51 nt
Filed under: unclassified sequences
Description: chromate-resist RNA
Rfam family: chrB-b RNA
Source: RNAcentral